GAUUAUGGCUCAGGAUAAACGCUGGCGGCGUGCCUAAUACAUGCAAGUCGAACGAGGAGUCUUGUAGCAAUACGGGAACUUCCUAGUGGCGAAUGGGUGAGUAACGCGUUGGUGACCUGCCCCAAAGAGAGGAACAACUCCGGGAAACUGGAGCUAAUACCUCAUGUGGCUACCAGGGUUAGAGGCCUGGUAUCUGAAGGAGCAAUCCGCUUUGGGAGGGACCUGCGUCCCAUCAGCUAGUUGGUAGGGUAACGGCCUACCAAGGCGACGACGGGUAGGGGGCCUGAGAGGGUGGCCCCCCACACUGGAACUGAAACACGGUCCAGACACCUACGGGUGGCAGCAGUAGGGAAUAUUGCACAAUGGGCGAAAGCCCUGAUGCAGCAACGCCGCGUGAACGAUGAAGACCUUCGGGUUGUAAAGUUCUUUUCUGAAGGACGAGGAAGGACGGUACUUCAGGAAUAAGGAUCGGCUAACUACGUGCCAGCCGCCGC
Molecule: ribosomal RNA, 494 nt
Filed under: uncultured bacterium
Lineage: Bacteria
Description: bacterial SSU rRNA
Rfam family: Bacterial small subunit ribosomal RNA
Source: RNAcentral